Molecule: ribosomal RNA, 483 nt
Filed under: Pasteurellales bacterium 'ARUP UnID 110'
Lineage: Bacteria; Pseudomonadati; Pseudomonadota; Gammaproteobacteria; Pasteurellales
Description: bacterial SSU rRNA
Rfam family: Bacterial small subunit ribosomal RNA
Source: RNAcentral
GGACGAACGCUGGCUGCGUGCUUAACACAUGCAAGUCGAACGAACAAGCCUGAGCUUUGCACCGUGCUGAUGAGUGGCGGACGGGUGAGUAAUGCUUGGGAAACUGGCCUAUGGAGGCGGGAUAAGCCCGGGAAACUGGCGCUAAUACCGCGUAGAGUCGAGAGACGCAUGUCCGGGGCCGCAAGGCCUUAUCGGUUAGGAUGGGCCCAAGUGGGAUUAGUUUGUUGGUGGGGUAAAGGCCUACCAAGCCGACGACGGGUAGCUGGCCUGAGAGGAUGACCGGCCACACCGGGACUGAGACACGGCCCAGACUCCUACGGGAGGCAGCAGUGGGGAAUAUUGCACAAUGGGGGAAACCCUGAUGCAGCCAUGCCGCGUGCGGGAAGAAGGCCUUCGGGUUGUAAACCGCUUUCGGUAUUGAGGAAGGUUGUUGUAACACGACAAAUUGACGGUAACUACAGAAGAAGCACCGGCUAACUACGU